RNAcentral lists this long non-coding RNA (215 nucleotides) under Phoenix dactylifera (date palm). RNAcentral describes it as "long non-coding RNA (PDAC_LNC019159)". The record is from RNAcentral. Lineage: Eukaryota; Viridiplantae; Streptophyta; Magnoliopsida; Arecales; Arecaceae.
CUAGCCGAGCUCGAACACUUAGAGAAAUUCGUCGGAAAGGAUUCAACUCAGAUGAUUAAAGUAAAGGCUUACCCAUUACGCGAGAAAGAGAAAAGUAGACAUGAAUUUACAAAGGGAGUUCUUUCAUUGAUAAAAGUCCGAAGGCUGAAAUACAAAAUUGAGGACUGGCCGUACGACAAGUUUGGAGGCCGACCUCGCUUACAAAAAAAAAAAAA